GAUGAACGCUGGCGGCGUGCCUAAUACAUGCAAGUCGAGCGAACAGACGAGGAGCUUGCUCCUCUGACGUUAGCGGCGGACGGGUGAGUAACACGUGGAUAACCUACCUAUAAGACUGGGAUAACUUCGGGAAACCGGAGCUAAUACCGGAUAAUAUAUUGAACCGCAUGGUUCAAUAGUGAAAGACGGUUUUGCUGUCACUUAUAGAUGGAUCCGCGCCGCAUUAGCUAGUUGGUAAGGUAACGGCUUACCAAGGCAACGAUGGGUAGCCGACCUGAGAGGGGGGUCGGCCACACGGGAGCCGGACCGCGGUCCUGGCGCCUGCGGGAGGGAGCAGUGUGGUAUCUUCGGCAAUGGUCGGAAGCCUUACCGAGCGGCGCCUAGUGAGGGAUAAAGGUCCUCGGAUCGUAAAACUGUCUUACGGGGUAAAAACAAAUGUGUGCUUGGCUAUGCACGUCUUGACGGUACCUAAUCAAACAGCCACGGCUAACUACGUG
Molecule: ribosomal RNA, 497 nt
Filed under: uncultured bacterium
Lineage: Bacteria
Description: partial 16S ribosomal RNA
Rfam family: Bacterial small subunit ribosomal RNA
Source: RNAcentral